Long non-coding RNA from Cuculus canorus (common cuckoo), 1737 nucleotides. RefSeq lists it as uncharacterized. NCBI's taxonomy places the organism in Eukaryota, Metazoa, Chordata, Aves, Cuculiformes, Cuculidae. The transcript has 3 exons. The record is from RefSeq and is a predicted model, not a curated record.
GGUGACCGACGUUUAUGUUAAUUCUGGGUGAUGACUGACACGAAUCCAUGUAUCACACAGUCCUUCAGUCAUAAACCAUUGACCAAGAUUGGGACCGGGGUGGAUCCAGCCACAGGUCCCCAGGCUGCUGAGGAAGCCCCGUCCAAGCCCGUGGAGGCCUGGCCCCACACAAGGAUGGCUUCUACACCGGCAACACUGCCACAGCGGCUCAGCCGAAUCCGUCAUGGGGGGAAAGAACUGUGGGUUUGCAAUCCUUUCCCUUGCCCCCAUCCGGGUCUGGGGUCCCCUGGGAGCUCACGGGGGUGCAGGUGGCUUGGGGACAGUCUGGGGACAUGGAGGGGAGGGAGAAGGAGUCACCUUGGGUGCGUGCAGGAGCGUGGCCGGCACCGGAGGGAGGGGAGAUGCUGUCCGUCCGACCCUCAGCACCAGUGACCACCGACAUGGCACCCCCUUGUCUGGGCUCAACCAGACCCUGAUGGGAUCCCGGCCGCUGCCAUCGCCACCGUGUCCCCAUCCUGCAGAAGCCCGGGGUGUGAUGGAGCGCCCCGUUGCCCCCAGGACCCCCCCAGCUCUGCAGGAUGCCCAGCCCGGGCUGGGGGUUGGCUGGGAGCCGAGCCGGGUGCUGACCCCAAGCCGCUCGCUGUUUCCUGCCUUCUGACUGCGCCGCGGUCCCUGGGGACCGGGAAGUGUCGGAGAUGGCUGGGAUGGUGUCAGUCCUGAAUCCAUUCUCAGCUACUGCCGUUUCCUUCCUGAGCUACAAAUAACGGUGAGUCAGCCCCUGUCCCCACCGCGGGGACCCUGCCAGGGCUCUGCUGGACCCCCAUCCCCGGGACCCCAGCGUGUCGGUGGCUUUGCUGGUUGGAUGCUCCCUCUGGAGCUCGUCCCAAGGGCUCCCCACAGCCUCCGGGGGCCACCAGGGGUUCUCGAUGGGGUGUCCAGCUGCAUUGAGGUUAGACCUUGGGAAUGGCAUUGCGUUGAGGUUGGAUUGGGAAUGGCGCUGAAUUGAGGUUGGACCUUGGGAAUGGCACUGCAUUGAGGUUGGACCUUGGGAAUGGCGCUGCGUUGAGGUUGGAUUGGGAAUGGUGCUGCAUUGAGGUUGGACCAUGAGAAUGGCACUGCGUUGAGGUUGGACCUUGGGAAUGGCGCUGUGUUGAGGUUGGACCACGGGAAUAGCUUUGUCUGGGUCCCCUCUCUGUCUCCAAAUGCUGUAGGGCUGGGGUCUCACUUUGGGACCACCAGAUUUGGGGUGCGGGAACAGGGCUGGUCCUACCCUACAGAGCUGAGGGAGCCCCAGCACAAUCAGGAUUGUCCUCACAAAGGCUUUUUCACCUGGGAAGCUGCCUGCCAGCACCCUCCCGAGCCCGCCGAGCUGGGGAGCGCGGAGGCGAUCGCCCCCGGGGAGCACGGAUGGAGGGGGCCGGAUGCCUGUGUGCAGCCAGCCUGCCCUCUGCACAGGAUGCCGCGGUGGCAGGAAAAUCUGCAACUUUCCUGGAAACCUUCUUCAAAGUGGAUCAAAGAUGCUGGGAAGUGACUGGAAAACAGCAGCAGCUGCUGAUCCCCGUCCCCGCUCCCUGCUUCAGCCGCACGGUCCCUGGCUGGGCACCCCUGGGGUACCUGCGGGGUCCCUGGUGGGGCUGGAUCUGGUCCUGGCAGCUGCUGGGCACUGCGGUGGCAGAGCGGGUUAAAGCCCUGGGAGGUGUGUGAGGUUGGAGCAGGAUCGUGGGGGCCACUGGGCUU